AACACCAGUUUUCAACUUUCACUUCAAUCACUUCGUCUAAUUUAACCGGCAUGAAUCCUUGCAAACCAGAAACCCUUUGUUCUUCUUCAUGAUUUCAAUGAAAAAGAAAGAAAAUAUCGUUAUACCUGCAAUUAUUGUUCCAUUUCCUUUUCCUUUUCUUCUUACUUCUU
Hibiscus syriacus is the source of this 170-nucleotide long non-coding RNA. RefSeq lists it as uncharacterized. The transcript is spliced from 4 exons. NCBI's taxonomy places the organism in Eukaryota, Viridiplantae, Streptophyta, Magnoliopsida, Malvales, Malvaceae. The record is from RefSeq and is a predicted model, not a curated record.